GGAUGUGAGGGCGAUUUGUUGGCAAUAUCUAUCACCCCACUGAUUUCCAGGAUUAAUUUGGCUGAUCUGACUGGCUAGGAGGCCUCCCCUUACUCUUACUGUUCCAUGUGUGUCAUUUCUGAAGUUUGAAGCUGGGUGCGAGUGUUGUGUGCUGGAUUAAAGAAGACAGCCUUCCAUAAACAGAGACAGAUUUUUUCUGUUGAACUUGAUGUUAUGUGAGUAGUUGUGUGCCCAUACUAGAACUGUCAAGGAAGCUCUCAACUAUGUAACUUAAACAGGAAUAUGUACUCUUGUAAGUAAAUAUAGUUUGAAUAUAAGGUAUGAUAUCCACCUUCCUUC
Erinaceus europaeus (western European hedgehog) is the source of this 339-nucleotide unclassified non-coding RNA. Its record names the gene 7SK. It matches the Rfam family "7SK RNA". Rfam says of the family: 7SK was discovered as an abundant small nuclear RNA in the mid-70s but a possible function has only recently been suggested. The record is from Ensembl. Lineage: Eukaryota; Metazoa; Chordata; Mammalia; Eulipotyphla; Erinaceidae.